GUGAAUUAUCUGUAGGCGAUUAAGUGAAAUAUCUAAUGUAAGUUCUUCUAUUACAUUUAUCAAGGAUAUGAAGUCUCUAAGUACCUUAGUACUUAGGAACAACAAUAUCACUGGUACAAUUCCAUUGAAUAACGGAGAGCUCCAACAGUUACAAAAACUAGAUUUGAGCUUUAACAAGUUAAAUGGACAGAUUCCAAACUCUCUUUUCAACAUUUGCUCACUCUCUUAUCUGUAAUACAUCUUUAGUUUUCUCUCUUGGGUUAAC
Molecule: long non-coding RNA, 265 nt
Organism: Humulus lupulus (European hop)
Lineage: Eukaryota; Viridiplantae; Streptophyta; Magnoliopsida; Rosales; Cannabaceae
Exons: 3
Source: RefSeq, a predicted model, not a curated record